AGAGACUUCCAGCAAAGUAAAAGUACUUGUGGGCUUUGAACGAAGUCUGCUUCGGAAGGGAAGGAAGACCUUGUUCGCUCAAUGCAUUUCUACGGCUGCCUGGCUGCGCUCCAGUGAUGCACCAGCCUCCGAGCAGACGGGCUGGGAGAGCGCGACGGGAGUGCUGUAUCCGUUCACGAGGGGCUGUAAUUCACUGUCAUCCCCCAGUGAUUAAAUCCUGCUUAUUUCAAACUGACAGCACGCUCCUGCCUCUGGUCAGUACAGCACUGGGAACCCAUUGCAGCAGCUUGAAGAGCAACUCGCGUCCCAUUGUUCCAGGGUUCAUCAGUAACCACUCCUCUUCCUCAGAAAAGAAAAAAACCCAAGUCCUUAACCUGGAGAGAUGGAAGGAGACCUGAAACAGAAUAACACCUUCAGCUUAGGUUUUGUUUUUUAACUGUACCCCCUGCUUAAUGCCAUUUAGAUGGGUACUGAUUUUACAGACCUCCGACGAACCAAAACCUGGCACUUUAUUGGAAUUUUAAGGGAAGCGAGGGGCCUGCGCCCACAGAGAGGAGGGAAGAGCAGCAAGCGGGUAUCUGAGGGACAAGUUCUUUAUGAAUACAGGUAUAACCGGUCCUGGCAAACAGCAGUCAGUAGCUACUGAGUUUAUUGCAAACUCUUCCAAUUUUCUACCUUGAUCCUUAGCUCCAGAAUAAAACGUGGAAGGAAAGCAUUCAUUGCCAUCUGGUAAAACCAAAGCAUUUGCAUAUAGUGGCAGAACAACCAACUUUUUAAGGGAGAAAAAAACAUUUCCACUGAUCCCAUCUCGAACACGUGAAACUCAAAGGAAAAAUGAGCCAUGUUGCUACUGAAGCCUUUGUACCACACGCUGGGUAGCUGAGUGCCUGCUGCCACCGUGAUGCUUUGCAGGUUGGGCACUCUGGGACCAGCUAGACCUAAGGGCUGGGAUUGAGGGUGUUUCAGUGCAGCCAGAAGCAGGGUGGGCUGCUGAGGGUUAAAUGAACGAUAAACCUUGCUUCCCUGA
Pygoscelis adeliae (Adelie penguin) is the source of this 1027-nucleotide long non-coding RNA. RefSeq lists it as uncharacterized. Lineage: Eukaryota; Metazoa; Chordata; Aves; Sphenisciformes; Spheniscidae. The transcript is spliced from 4 exons. The record is from RefSeq and is a predicted model, not a curated record.